GUUUUUCGCUCUAUGAUCAGCCCGCGUGAGAUUAGCUAGUUGGUGAGGUAACGGCUCACCAAGGCAACGAUCUCUAGAUGGUCUGAGAGGAUGAUCAUCCACACUGGAACUGAGACACGGUCCAGACUCCUACGGGAGGCAGCAGUAGGGAAUAUUGCACAAUGGAGGAAACUCUGAUGCAGCGACGCCGCGUGAGUGAUGAAGGCCUUCGGGUUGUAAAGCUCUGUCGCACGGGAAUAAGACAGUG
RNAcentral lists this ribosomal RNA (247 nucleotides) under uncultured Bdellovibrio sp. RNAcentral describes it as "partial 16S ribosomal RNA". It matches the Rfam family "Bacterial small subunit ribosomal RNA", at positions 210 to 456 of the family's 1533-position model. The record is from RNAcentral. Lineage: Bacteria; Pseudomonadati; Bdellovibrionota; Bdellovibrionia; Bdellovibrionales; Pseudobdellovibrionaceae.